UACGUAGGGUGCAAGCGUUAUCCGGAAUUAUUGGGCGUAAAGAGCUCGUAGGUGGUUUGUCGCGUUGUCCGUGAAAACUCACAGCUCAACUGUGGGCGUGCGGGCGAUACGGGCAGACUGGAGUACUGCAGGGGAGACUGGAAUUCCUGGUGUAGCGGUGGAAUGCGCAGAUAUCAGGAGGAACACCGGUGGCGAAGGCGGGUCUCUGGGCAGUAACUGACGCUGAGGAGCGAAAGCGUGGGGAGCGAACAGG
RNAcentral lists this ribosomal RNA (253 nucleotides) under uncultured bacterium. Its description in RNAcentral is "partial 16S ribosomal RNA". It matches the Rfam family "Bacterial small subunit ribosomal RNA", at positions 524 to 776 of the family's 1533-position model. The record is from RNAcentral.